AUAAAGUUUAAUUCUAGCUUAAAAAUUUAUUUAAUUUUUUUUUUACAUGUAAAUUUUUGUAAGAGUAUUAAUUUAAUUUUAAAAAUUAAGUUAUUAUGUUUUAUUCGCAGUAUUUAAUUUUAAUAAUUUAAGAAAUUAAGAAUUAGAAAUAAAUUUUAAUAUUAACAAAUUUUGUGCCAGCAGUUGCGGUUAUACAAAAGAUAUAAAUAAAUUAUAUUAGUAAAUAAUUAUAUGAAUUAUUGAUAAAUUAAAAUUAUAUUUAUUAGGUGAAAUUUUAACUAUAAUUAUAUUUUAUAAUUAAAUUUUUAUUAUUAUGAAAUUUAUAUUUAAACUAGGAUUAGAUACCCUAUUAUUUUAAAUGUAAAAAUUUAUUACUAAAAUAGUAUUAGUUAUGUUCUUUAAAAUUAAAGAUUUUGGCGGUAUUUUAGUCUAUUUAGAGGAACCUGUUCUAUAAUUGAUAAUCCACGAUUAACUUUACUUAAUUUAUAAAUUUGUAUACCGUCGUUAUUAGAAAAUUUUAAUAGAAUAUAAAUUUUUAAUAUUUUAAAUUAAAAAAUAUAUCAGAUCAAGGUGCAGUUAAUAUUUAAGAAGAAAUGGGUUACAAUAAAUUUAUUUAUACGGAUUAAAGUAAUAAAUGCUUUAUAAAGGUGGAUUUAAUAGUAAUAAGAUUUAUUUUAAUUUUAUGAUUUUAGCUCUAAAAUAUGUACAUAUCGCCCGUCGCUCUUAUUAUAAGAUAAGAUAAGUCGUAACAUAGUAGAUGUACUGGAAAGUGUAUCUAGAAUGA
Molecule: non-coding RNA, 784 nt
Filed under: Abax parallelus
Lineage: Eukaryota; Metazoa; Arthropoda; Insecta; Coleoptera; Carabidae
Source: RNAcentral